UGCGUUGAGUUUAAAGCUGACUGCCCUGGCUUUUUCUUCUGCGCGUUCACGUUAGUGCCUCUUAAAAGCAAUAAAAUACAUUUCCUGAUGCGUUCUCUCUCUUAUUUCCUAUAGCUGUGCUUAGCUUCCUGUGCUUUUAUUCCUGUGACCUUCCCAUCUGCUCCAAAACACACAUAGAUCUCGCAUAAAGCUCUACACACCAGAUCUGCCUCCUUCCGUUAGUCAUUUGCUCUCUCCGGUCGAUCUCCAGCUCUAGUCAUCUACACAUCCAACCGAUCUCUAGCUUAUUGCCGUCCUUUCUAGCGUCCACCGUGUCUUUUGCUUCGGAGUGCUUUUUCUUCUCAUUGCCUCUCGAUCGCACUAUGUCCAUCGGAUCUACACUUCCCAUCGCCGGAUCUGCUCUCCAUCACUUGUCUCUGUCAAAGGAAGACCUGGCUUUUUUUUCUUCUGGAACUCAAGUUGCUGGUCUUUAUUUUCAUGGCUUAUCGUCCUCUACUAUUCCAGAACUGAUCUGUGCUUGGUCUCUUCUUUAUUUUCCAUCCCCUGUUUCGUUUAUCUUAGAGCAGAGGAAGAGCUGUUGUUUUUUUUUUGCUGGAACUCAGUUGCUGUUUUCUAUUUUCUUGAUCUAUCGUGCUCUACAUGUGUGCGUGUAAUGAAACACUGAUAAUGCUGUUAUAAUGCUCAUUUUUAUGGCUGAUCUUCUGGAACUGAAAUUACUAUUAUUUAUAAUGCUGUUAGACGUAUGGAAGCUUGAAAUCUGAAAGCAAUCCUCUAUAUUCUUGAAAAGGUGAAAAUAGUUUCCUGGAAAAUGCAUGCAUGCUGUGCGAAUUGAUUCUUCUAUAAUGCUGUACGAAAAUAGUUUUCUGACAUGGAUUUCUCUUGCUUUGAUAGAAGGGAUAAAGGCGUAACUUUCUAAUAUGGAUUUAGAAAAUUUUGAGAAUAUUUGAAUCAUCCAUGGUUAUUUUACAAUCCUAGAAAUCUAUACAUUAUCAACAAAUAAAUGGUUGGGAUUGCAAAGAUAAAAGGGAAAAAAUUUAGUGUUCAUAUUUAUUUAAGCAUAGCUUCUUGGAAAUUUAGUGUACAUAUUUAUUUAAGCAUAGCUUCCAGUAAAAAAAUCUAGUGUACAUAGCUUCCUGGAAAACGCAUGCAUGUCAUAUUUUUAAUGUACUAAUUAGAUAUUUAUUUUCUUACAAUUUAUUAUAUUACAUAUUUAUUUUCUUAAUUUAUUCUUUUAAAGUUUAAAGAUUUCAAAAUCUGUUUCUUUAAUGUCAGCCUGAUCGGAUAAGAGAAAUUAGGAGUUAGCUAGGUUUAUUAAGAGAGAUGACCAUAGCUAAUAUUCUUGAAAGCUUGAGAUCUAAUUACAAUCCUCUAUUUAUUUUCAAGGAUACAUAUAUGUAGAGAUAUUUAUUAAUUUUGCAUGUUUGUGAUGGUUGGCUAGUCUAUAGAACAAUGAACAGCGACAAAGGAAAAGCUAUGUGGAAUUCAACCUUGACAGAAAUUUUCAUUAAAGAAUGCUUGGAGCAAGUGUGCAAGAAACAAAGGAAGGGAACUACUUUCAAUAAAAAUGGGUGGCAAGCAAUAAUUGAGGGGUUUGAGGCAAAAAUAGGAAAAAGGUAUGAGCGAAAGCAAUUGAAAAAUAAGCUAGAUAACAUGAGGAAAGAAUGGAACGUAUGGCAUAAGUUAUUUUCAAGUGAAACCAGCUUAGGAUGGGACAGUGACAAGAAUACUGUUGAUGCUCCAGAUGAGUGGUGGGAGCGAAAAAUCUUGGUAUGGAUUAGUUGUAAGUGUUUUUAAAAUUAGAAUUUAAUUUGAGAAUUUUAAUUGUUGGAUAUUUGAAUGGCUGUAGGAAAAUUCCCUUUAUGAAAAAUUUAGAUAUAAAGGUUUGAGGUUUGCAAGGGAAUUAACUUUGAUAUUCAAGGAUGUCCUGGCAACUGGGGAAAUAUGUUUUGUACCAUCUGCUACCUAGACCCAAAUAGAAGAUGAUGAUGAUGAGGAUGUAUACCGCCCUACUAUUGACCUUCGAGAAGGCUCCGGUGAUAGUGAAGAGGAGCUAAAUUUAUCUGACACCGCAGCACCUAUGGGGGUCACCGAUGAGCUAUUGGGCUUGAGUGUGACCACAAAUACUGAUGGAACCAGUGGUAACGGAAGUCAAGGCAAGAGAAAGAGGGUUAUAGGCAUUGGUGGGAGGAAAAAGCAAAAAGUCCCUGCCUCAAUGAAAAUAGCAAAUGCGAUAAGUGAAAUGGCUAAGGAUAAUAGAGCAAGAACAGAGACAGUGAACAAGAUUUUAGCAAAUGACAUAGGAGUUUUUGAGGUUAUGGCUCACCUAAAUAGACUCCCAGAAGUUUUUGGUAAUAAAGAUUUGCAUUGGAGAUGUGUCAAUCUUGUUCUGUACAAGCCUAUGCGAGAUGUUUAGUGACAACUUAAAGAUCAUCCUGAUCACUUAGUCAAUUGGUUGAAGCACCAAGUUUACCAUCUACCAGAUUGGAUUUUAAAAAAUACAUAUGGAUAAAUUUUUAUCUAGGCUCAUGAUGACUUGACUUGUGUUUGACUUGUAGUUGCUUUUUUUGACUUGUAUUUGAUUUGUAGUUGCUUUAUUUUGACUUGUGUUUGACUUGUAGUUGCUUUAUUUUGACUUGUAGUUUGCAAAUGAUGACUUGAUUUGUAGUAAAUAUUUAACUCUUAUAUAAUGCUUAUCUUAUGCUUUAUCUUUUAUGAUAUUUAUAUACUAUGUACUUUAUAUUUACAUACUAUUUUA
This is an RNA transcript of Prosopis cineraria, 2755 nucleotides long. It is a transcript of the gene named L10-interacting MYB domain-containing protein-like, with no coding region annotated. The record is from RefSeq and is a predicted model, not a curated record. Lineage: Eukaryota; Viridiplantae; Streptophyta; Magnoliopsida; Fabales; Fabaceae. The transcript is spliced from 2 exons.